This 253-nucleotide ribosomal RNA is filed under the name uncultured bacterium. RNAcentral's name for it is "partial 16S ribosomal RNA". It matches the Rfam family "Bacterial small subunit ribosomal RNA", at positions 524 to 776 of the family's 1533-position model. The record is from RNAcentral.
UACGUAGGCAGCAAGCGUUGUUCGGAGUUACUGGGCGUAAAGGGUGUGUAGGCGGUUCUUUAAGUUUGGUGUGAAAUCUCCCGGCUCAACCGGGAGGGUGCGCCGAAUACUGAGGGACUAGAGUGCGGGAGAGGAAAGUGGAAUUCCUGGUGUAGCGGUGAAAUGCGUAGAUAUCAGGAGGAACACCGGUGGUGUAGACGGCUUUCUGGACCAGCACUGACACUGAGGCACGAAAGCGUGGGGAGCAAACAGG